This is an RNA transcript of Ctenopharyngodon idella (grass carp), 1762 nucleotides long. It is a transcript of the gene named histone H2B-like, with no coding region annotated. NCBI's taxonomy places the organism in Eukaryota, Metazoa, Chordata, Actinopteri, Cypriniformes, Xenocyprididae. The record is from RefSeq and is a predicted model, not a curated record. The transcript is spliced from 7 exons.
CUUGAGUUCACAUUGAUUCGUCAGUUUUGCGAUCAUUCAGCGUCAUGCCUGAACCAGCCAAGUCCGCGCCUAAGAAGGGCUCCAAGAAGGCCGUCACGAAGACCGCCGGUAAGGGAGGAAAGAAGCGCAGAAAGUCCAGGAAGGAGAGCUACGCCAUCUACGUGUACAAAGUGCUGAAGCAGGUUCAUCCUGACACCGGCAUCUCCUCCAAGGCGAUGGGCAUCAUGAACUCUUUCGUCAACGACAUCUUCGAGCGCAUCGCCGGUGAGGCGUCUCGUCUCGCUCACUACAACAAGCGCUCCACCAUCACGUCGAGAGAGAUCCAGACCGCCGUGCGUCUGCUGCUGCCCGGUGAGCUGGCCAAACACGCCGUGUCUGAGGGCACCAAGGCCGUCACCAAGUACACCAGCUCCAAGUAGAGUCCCCGAGACUCUCACAGACCCAAAGGUUCUUUUAAGAGCCACCCAUCUACUCCGAUAAAAGAGAUUCUGAUGAUUUAAGUUAAUUAAAUGAUGGAAAAACUUAAAGUGCUGGGAUACGUUCCUCUUCUGCUACUGGGGAAGUGUUCAAAGGCCCAUAGGUGGACAGCGGAGGUCCAGUGUCCCUUUGAGUUCCCACCUGAGGGACAUAAGGUGAUGGAAAAAAUGCUCAUACUCUUUGAGCAUAUUUUACAAGGUUUUGGUCCAGAAAAAGAACAAGAGGUCACAGAAGGUAAUGAAGCAGAAAGGCAGGACUUGAAAGAGACUGUAGAAGAUGAAGAGGACAUUACACUGGAGAACAAUGUAGAAGUGGAAAGACUGGAGGAUGAAGAGCAGAUCGAAGAACAACAGACAGAAAGUGGGGAGGAAGAACCAGAGAGGCCUGUUGAGGAACAGAGUUUCAAAAGUCCAGAAAAAGAACAAGAGGACACAGAGGGUGAUAGGACAGAGAGUCAGGACAUAAACGAGGCUGUAGAAGAUGAAGAGAACAUUUUAUCAGAGAACAAUGUAGAAUUGAGGAUGAAGGAAAGAUUGGAGGAUGAAGAGCAGAUCGAAGAACAACAGACAGAAAGUGGGGAGGAAGAACCAGAGAGGCCUGUUGAGGAACAGAGUUUCAAAAGUCCAGAAAAAGAACAAGAGGACACAGAGGGUGAUAGGACAGAGAGUCAGGACAUAAACGAGGCUGUAGAAGAUGAAGAGAACAUUUUAUCAGAGAACAAUGUAGAAUUGAGGAUGAAGGAAAGAUUGGAGGAUGAAGAGCAGAUCGAAGAACAACAGACAGAAAGUGGGGGGGAGAACCAGAUAGGCCUGUUAAUGAAGAAGGGGAAAUGAAAGUGACAAAAAAGACUAAACAGGCAAAGGAAAUGAAGAAACAGGCAGAGAAACAAAAGAUUAGUGCACUUAAGAUGGAUGAAAUGGAUGAAAGAAAAGAGAUAGAGGGAGUCGUAUUAAAACCAGAUGGCAAAUCAGCUGUCAACAUGGCAGCCAAAAGAAAGCGCCAAAAAAAUACAGACACAGAAUGUCCAUUCCAUGCGUCUCUGGAUGUAUUUCCAGUGGAAUUUGUAUCUAAGACACGUCUCAGAAAGGGACGUAAGGAAGUGCUGGUGCAUUGGUUGCCAUGUCCAUCCUGUAGGAAGACAUGGCCACCCACCUGGCAGCCUGAAGAUCAUGUCCAAAUUACACUUACUCAAUGCUAAUUACAUUACUGGUACAUUAUGACCGUUUUUUUGUUUGUUUGUUUUUGAGCCACUGUUAUAGUGGACAAAUAAAGGUUUGUGUUUUCA